This 571-nucleotide ribosomal RNA is filed under the name Rhodotorula mucilaginosa. RNAcentral describes it as "eukaryotic LSU rRNA". The stretch from base 152 to 305 matches the Rfam family "5.8S ribosomal RNA". Lineage: Eukaryota; Fungi; Basidiomycota; Microbotryomycetes; Sporidiobolales; Sporidiobolaceae. The record is from RNAcentral.
GAAUAUAGGACGUCCAACUUAACUUGGAGUCCGAACUCUCACUUUCUAACCCUGUGCAUUUGUUUGGGAUAGUAACUCUCGCAAGAGGGCGAACUCCUAUUCACUUAUAAACACAAAGUCUAUGAAUGUAUUAAAUUUUAUAACAAAAUAAAACUUUCAACAACGGAUCUCUUGGCUCUCGCAUCGAUGAAGAACGCAGCGAAAUGCGAUAAGUAAUGUGAAUUGCAGAAUUCAGUGAAUCAUCGAAUCUUUGAACGCACCUUGCGCUCCAUGGUAUUCCGUGGAGCAUGCCUGUUUGAGUGUCAUGAAUACUUCAACCCUCCUCUUUCUUAAUGAUUGAAGAGGUGUUUGGUUUCUGAGCGCUGCUGGCCUUUAGGGUCUAGCUCGUUCGUAAUGCAUUAGCAUCCGCAAUCGAACUUCGGAUUGACUUGGCGUAAUAGACUAUUCGCUGAGGAAUUCUAGUCUUCGGACUAGAGCCGGGUUGGGUUAAAGGAAGCUUCUAAUCAGAAUGUCUACAUUUAAGAUUAGAUCUCAAAUCAGGUAGACCACCCCGCUGAACUUAAGCAUAUCA